UACGGAGGGUGCGAGCGUUGUCCGGAAUUACUGGGCGUAAAGCGCGUGUAGGCGGCAGGGCAAGUCGGAUGUGAAAUCCCGUGGCUCAACCACGGAAGUGCACCCGAAACUGCCCAGCUAGAGUCUCGGAGAGGAAGGUGGAAUGCUUGGUGUAGAGGUGAAAUUCGUAGAUAUCAAGCGGAACACCGGUGGCGAAUGCGGCCUUCUGGACGAUGACUGACGCUGAGACGCGAAAGCGUGGGGAGCAAACAGG
This 253-nucleotide ribosomal RNA is filed under the name uncultured bacterium. RNAcentral's name for it is "partial 16S ribosomal RNA". It matches the Rfam family "Bacterial small subunit ribosomal RNA", at positions 524 to 776 of the family's 1533-position model. The record is from RNAcentral.